GAUGAACGCUGGCGGCGUGCCUAAUACAUGCAAGUCGAGCGAACCAGAGGGAGCUUGCUCCCGAUGGUUAGCGGCGGACGGGUGAGUAACACGUGGGCAACCUGCCUGUAAGACUGGGAUAACUUCGGGAAACCGGAGCUAAUACCGGAUAACAUAUAAGACCACAUGGUCUUGUAUUAAAAGAUGGCUUUAGCUAUCACUUACAGAUGGGCCCGCGGCGCAUUAGCUAGUUGGUGAGGUAACGGCUCACCAAGGCAACGAUGCGUAGCCGACCUGAGAGGGUGAUCGGCCACACUGGGACUGAGACACGGCCCAGACUCCUACGGGAGGCAGCAGUAGGGAAUCUUCCGCAAUGGACGAAAGUCUGACGGAGCAACGCCGCGUGAGCGAAGAAGGUCUUCGGAUCGUAAAGCUCUGUUGUUAGGGAAGAACAAGUAUCGUUCGAAUAGGGCGGUACCUUGACGGUACCUAACCAGAAAGCCACGGCUAACUACGUGCCAGCAGCCGCGGUAAUACGUAGGUGGCAAGCGUUAUCCGGAAUUAUUGGGCGUAAAGCGCGCGCAGGCGGUCCUUUAAGUCUGAUGUGAAAGCCCACGGCUCAACCGUGGAGGGUCAUUGGAAACUGGGGGACUUGAGUGCAGAAGAGGAGAGCGGAAUUCCACGUGUAGCGGUGAAAUGCGUAGAGAUGUGGAGGAACACCAGUGGCGAAGGCGGCUCUCUGGUCUGUAACUGACGCUGAGGCGCG
This 745-nucleotide ribosomal RNA is filed under the name uncultured Bacillota bacterium. RNAcentral describes it as "bacterial SSU rRNA". It matches the Rfam family "Bacterial small subunit ribosomal RNA", at positions 28 to 755 of the family's 1533-position model. Lineage: Bacteria; Bacillati; Bacillota. The record is from RNAcentral.